UCAUUAAAGCCCCACAAAGCAGAGAUUAAACCUCGUACCUUUUGCAUCAUGAUUUAGCUAGACCUUCUGAGCAAAGAGUACUUUAGUUCAAAACCCCGAAACUACGUGAGCUACCCCGAAACAGCCUAUCAAUUAGGGCCAACCCGUCUCUGUGGCAAAAGAGUGGGAAGAUUUCCGGGUAGAGGUGAUAAACCUACCGAACCUAGUUAUAGCUGGUUGCCUAAGAAAUGAAUAGAAGUUCAGCCUCACACUCCUUAACUCAAAAACAAAUUUAAAAUACACGAGACAAAGAAACAUGUGAGAGUUAGUCAAAGGGGGUACAGCCCCUUUGAAAUAGGACACAGCCUCACCAGGAGGUUAAAGAUUAUAUUAAAUAAGAUAAGACCGCUCUAGUGGGCCUAAAAGCAGCCAUCAAAACAGAAAGCGUUAAAGCUCUGGCGGAAUAAAAAUCCAUUAUCCAAAUAUGUUAUCUAAAACCCCUAACUUUAUUAGGCCAUUCCAUGCUUACAUGGAAGAAAUACUGCUAAAAUGAGUAAUAAGAAAGAACCCCUUUCUCCUAGCCUACGUGUAUACUAGAUCGGACUAACCACUAGUAAUUACCGAACCCAACCAAAGAGGGCAAUGUGAACACCUAAAAUACCAAGAAAACUUCACAUAGAACAAUCGUUAAACCUACACCGGAGGGCAUUCAUAGGAAAGACUAAAAGAAAAGGAAGGAACUCGGCAAACACUUAUAAGCCUCGCCUGUUUACCAAAAACAUCGCCUCCUGCAAAAAUCAAUGUAUAGGAGGUCUUGCCUGCCCAGUGACAAGUUAAACGGCCGCGGUAUUUUGACCGUGCGAAGGUAGCGCAAUCACUUGUCUUUAAUGAGACCUGUAUGAAUGUGAACGAGGGCUACUGUCUCCCUUCAGUCAUGAAAUGAUCUGCCGUGCAGACCACAAACUAUAUAAUAAUU
Molecule: ribosomal RNA, 955 nt
Filed under: Tachysurus ussuriensis (Ussuri catfish)
Lineage: Eukaryota; Metazoa; Chordata; Actinopteri; Siluriformes; Bagridae
Description: partial 16S ribosomal RNA
Rfam family: Bacterial large subunit ribosomal RNA
Source: RNAcentral